Long non-coding RNA from Limulus polyphemus (Atlantic horseshoe crab), 329 nucleotides. RefSeq lists it as uncharacterized. The record is from RefSeq and is a predicted model, not a curated record. The transcript is spliced from 3 exons. Lineage: Eukaryota; Metazoa; Arthropoda; Merostomata; Xiphosura; Limulidae.
UGUUGUUAUUGUAAUUUAAAUGUUGACUUUAUCGCCGUUAAUUUUUAUAAGCCUAUAACAGUUAUAGUAUUAGAUUUGGAAUACAGUUACUUGAAAGAUUAAGUGAGUUCGAAGAUACAGCGUAACCUAUUGGUUGUUCUACUUAUGAAAUGGAGGGAGAAUGUGUAACGUCACCAACUAGUAUACGGCAGCAAAAAAUUGAACGCCAAAAGCAACUUUUGGAGCAGAAACAAAAGCAGAAAAGACAGGCUCUUGGGAUGGUUCAAGCUUCUGACACUCGACCAGCAUCUGGCAGAGGUCGGAGAGGACCAAUACGUGAUGAAAUCAAA